UAAGGAAUAUUGGUCAUGGACGAAAGUCUGAACCAGCCAUGCCGCGUGGAAGGAUGAAGGUCCUCUGGAUUGUAAACUUCUUUUAUAUGGGACGAAAAAAGGGUUUUCUAACUCGUCUGACGGUACCAUAUGAAUAAGCACCGGCUAACUCCGUGC
Molecule: ribosomal RNA, 156 nt
Filed under: uncultured bacterium
Lineage: Bacteria
Description: partial 16S ribosomal RNA
Rfam family: Bacterial small subunit ribosomal RNA
Source: RNAcentral